UUGAAAAAAUAGUUUGGUGGUUUGGGCAUCCCUAAUAUAGCUGAUAUGAACCUCAGCCUGCUAGCUUCGUGGGCUAAGAGAUAUUUCAACGAUGAUGGUAAAAUUUGGAAGCAAAUUAUUGACGCUAAAUAUAAUACUUGCAAUCCUAACAUUUUUGCUUGCCCUGAUAGUGGUGCUUCCCCUCUCUGGAAGGGCAUUCUUUGGCCUAUAAAAGCUGCAGAAGUUUGCAUUUCCUGGAAGGUGGGUAAUGGCAAGAGUGUUAGGUUUUGGGAGGACAGGUGGACUGGUAACGCUACUCUUGCUACUAGCUAUUGGGAGUUGUAUAAUAUUGCCAAUACCACUAAUGUUUCAUUCAGUGAGGUGUGGGAUGGCGUGUCUCUGAAAAUCAAUUUCAGAAGAUGUUUUUCGCCAAACAUGCUUGCUGCUUGGAAUGAGAUUUUUUGUGUUGUCAAGGAUCUGAACUUAAAUGAUUGUGAUGACACUAUCAUUUGGGAUUUGGAGCCUAAGGGGAUAUACACUGUUAAAUCCUAUUAUAAUUUUGUGAAUUUUAGAGGUGUGGCCCCAGAUAACAUUAUAUCGAUUUGGAAAGCUAAUGUUCCUCAGAGGAUUCAGAUCUUCCUUUGGUUGGUUGUGAGAAACAAAUUACUCACCAGAGAUAAUCUUCUGAAGAGACAGCAUGUGGCUGAUCCUACAUGCCUGUUCUGUAAUGAAGCAGAAUCGGUCUAUCAUCUGUUUUUUGAUUGCGUUGUUGCGAGAGAACUCUGGAGAGAGAUAUUUAGUUCCCUGGGGGACAACGUCGAGCUUAACUCGGACGUGCUCCUAGAGUGGUGGGCGAGUAAUGACAACAAAGCUGCAGACAUUAUGCUUCAUGCAGCUAUUUUGUGGGCUCUCUGGAGAUAUCGCAACGAUAUUUGUUUUAAUGCUGUGCCCUGGCUUGGUAUGCAGGUUUUGUGGCUAAAAACAGCUUCCUUUUUAACUUUGUGGGAGAUCAGGUGUGCGGAUGCAGUCAAGAGGAGAUGUCGACUCCUGGUACAAAAGAUGGAGCAUAUGGCGCGAGCACCACCUCUUCUCCUCUGGCCAGACCCUGGCUAG
RNAcentral lists this ribosomal RNA (1092 nucleotides) under Triticum aestivum (bread wheat). Its description in RNAcentral is "partial small subunit ribosomal RNA". Lineage: Eukaryota; Viridiplantae; Streptophyta; Magnoliopsida; Poales; Poaceae. The record is from RNAcentral.